UUGAAGCCUGCCCCUGGUAAUUGUCUGUUUCACCCAGUGGUAAAGACUUAGAUGCCUGUUCCUGCCUUUUUGUCUUGCUGCUGUCAGUGGACAGGUAACAUUAGACCCUGCCUCCUGUAGCAGCAGCACUCACUGGUGAACACCUGACAUUUUAGGCAGCAGGUUGCAGUCUGCCAGGGUGAGCUCGUUCCCGUCCAGGAAGCAUCGGCUGGAGCCCUUCUCCUCCUCCAUGCUGUCUGCAUCGAUCUCAUCUGGCAGGGGGCUGUUCAGGUCAGGAAGGGAGGGUGCGUCCCCGGGGCCAGGUUGUGCAGAUCCGCCGGCUUCCUGCGGAGCACACAUUGGAGGGAAGUGCUAC
Paralichthys olivaceus (Japanese flounder) is the source of this 355-nucleotide non-coding RNA. NCBI's taxonomy places the organism in Eukaryota, Metazoa, Chordata, Actinopteri, Pleuronectiformes, Paralichthyidae. The record is from RefSeq and is a predicted model, not a curated record.